RNAcentral lists this ribosomal RNA (440 nucleotides) under uncultured bacterium. RNAcentral describes it as "partial 16S ribosomal RNA". It matches the Rfam family "Bacterial small subunit ribosomal RNA", at positions 338 to 795 of the family's 1533-position model. The record is from RNAcentral.
CCUACGUGGGACUGCAGUGGGGAAUAUUGGACAAUGGGGGGAACCCUGAUCCAGCAACGCCGCGUGAGUGAUGAAGUAUUUCGGUAUGUAAAGCUCUAUCAGCAGGGAAGAAAAUGACGGUACCUGACUAAUAAUCCCCGGCUAACUCCGUGACAGCAGCCGCGGUAAUACGUAGGGGGCAAGCGUUACCCGGAUUUACUGGGUGUAAAGGGAGCGUAGACGGUGCAGCAAGUCUGAGGUGAAAGGUUGGGGCCCAACCACGGGACUGCAUUUGAAACUGUUGAGCUUGAGUACAGGAGAGGUAAGCGGAAUUCCUGGUGUAGCGGUGAAAUGCGUAGAGAUCAGGAGGAACACCAGUGGCGAAGGCGGCUUACUGGACUGUAACUGACGUUGAGGCGCGAAAGCGUGGGGAGCAAACAGGAUUAGAUACCCCAGUAGUC